UCCCUGGUGGCUCAGAGGUUAAAGCGUCUGCCUCCAAAGUAGGAGACCUGGGUUCAACCCCUGGGUUGGGAA
Ovis aries (sheep) is the source of this 72-nucleotide transfer RNA. It matches the Rfam family "tRNA". Rfam says of the family: Transfer RNA (tRNA) molecules are approximately 80 nucleotides in length. Their secondary structure includes four short double-helical elements and three loops (D, anti-codon, and T loops). Further hydrogen bonds mediate the characteristic L-shaped molecular structure. tRNAs have two regions of fundamental functional importance: the anti-codon, which is responsible for specific mRNA codon recognition, and the 3' end, to which the tRNAs corresponding amino acid is attached (by aminoacyl-tRNA synthetases). tRNAs cope with the degeneracy of the genetic code in two manners: having more than one tRNA (with a specific anti-codon) for a particular amino acid; and 'wobble' base-pairing, i.e. permitting non-standard base-pairing at the 3rd anti-codon position. The record is from Rfam. Lineage: Eukaryota; Metazoa; Chordata; Mammalia; Artiodactyla; Bovidae.